This 255-nucleotide ribosomal RNA is filed under the name uncultured bacterium. Its description in RNAcentral is "partial 16S ribosomal RNA". It matches the Rfam family "Bacterial small subunit ribosomal RNA", at positions 524 to 776 of the family's 1533-position model. The record is from RNAcentral.
UACGGGGGGGACUAACGUUAUUCAUCAUAACUGGGCGUAAAGGGUAUGUAGGUGGCUUAUUAAGUCUUUUUUAAAGAAUCUGAGCAUAACUCAGAAAUUAAUAGAGAUACUGGUAAGCUUCGAGGUCAAUAGAGGUUAGUUAUAUUCUUGAAGUAAAAGUAAAAUCUUUAGAUAUCGAGAGGAUAACCAAGAGGAUAAUGCGACUUUCCGGAUUGAUGCUGACACUGAGGUACGAAGGUAUGGGUAUCAAACGGG